CCUACGGGUGGCAGCAGUGGGGAAUAUUGGACAAUGGGCGAAAGCCUGAUCCAGCCAUGCCGCGUGUGUGAAGAAGGCCUUCGGGUUGUAAAGCACUUUCAGUGGGGAAGAAAGCCUUGGGGCUAAUACCCUCGAGGAAGGACAUCACCCACAGAAGAAGCACCGGCUAACUCCGUGCCAGCAGCCGCGGUAAUACGGAGGGUGCGAGCGUUAAUCGGAAUUACUGGGCGUAAAGCGCGCGUAGGCGGUCUGAUAAGCCGGUUGUGAAAGCCCCGGGCUCAACCUAGGAACGGCAUCCGGAACUGUCAGGCUAGAGUGCAGGAGAGGAAGGUAGAAUUCCCGGUGUAGCAGUGAAAUGCGUAGAGAUCGGGAGGAAUACCAGUGGCGAAGGCGGCCUUCUGGACUGACACUGACGCUGAGGUGCGAAAGCGUGGGUAGCAAACAGGAUUAGAUACCCCUGUAGUC
This 465-nucleotide ribosomal RNA is filed under the name Vreelandella stevensii. RNAcentral describes it as "partial 16S ribosomal RNA". It matches the Rfam family "Bacterial small subunit ribosomal RNA", at positions 338 to 795 of the family's 1533-position model. Lineage: Bacteria; Pseudomonadati; Pseudomonadota; Gammaproteobacteria; Oceanospirillales; Halomonadaceae. The record is from RNAcentral.